AGGGAAUCAUGUAUAUGGUCAAAAUAUAAGAAGAAAAAUUAUUUUUCCUCUAAAUUUACUGUUCUCAACAAAGGUCAUAUCCAAUCUUUAUAAUAAAUGAAAACUUUCCCUUAAAGCUAGAGCUAGAACAGAAAAGCAACCUCUUUUAACAAUGCUAAAGUUCCUCAUUGUUAGUUUCUAGAGAAAUGUAAAUCCCAAAUUCCCAGUUCACUAAUUGCCAUCUAAGAAACACAAUAAUUUUACUUCCACAAAAUUUGCAGUGCUCUAACAUGCCAACCUAAAGUCACUGAGCCCAUCAAACCAUGUCAUGACAAAUUAAUGCAGCAAAAAUUUCAUUGCAAUGUGACCAUGCUUCUGCUGAAAAGAGAAGGUGAAAAUAGUUCCAAAGCAUCAUUUUUGGCUGAAAAUUGACUUCUGAAAAUAAGUUCACCAGAAAAUGGAUAUCGAUAACCAUCAUUGUGAAGCAAAAAUGCACAUCCCAAUUAAAAUGCUAAUGACAGUGGAUGUGAAAAUAAUUUCAGGGCAUGUCAACGGCUGAAACCCAAGUUCUGCAAAUAAUUAACAGAAAAAAGAAAAUAGAUGAACACUCCACUUAAAAGAACAUUAUGUUCAAAAUACACCAUGAAUCUCCUUGGCCACAUUGAUAAACAAGGAAUCAACUUCUCUAUUCAAGAGUAGAGACUUUCACUGAGAAAAAAGAACCCACAAAGACUUGAAAGUCCUAUAAAACAUUGCCUAUUGGUAAAUCACCUGGCUCUGCUGAAG
This 765-nucleotide unclassified non-coding RNA is filed under the name Hevea brasiliensis (rubber tree). The record is from RNAcentral. Lineage: Eukaryota; Viridiplantae; Streptophyta; Magnoliopsida; Malpighiales; Euphorbiaceae.